GCCUGCCUGGCUCAGUUGGUAGAGCAUGUGACUCUUGAUCUCAGGGUUAUGAGUUUAAGCGCCAUGUUGGGCA
This 73-nucleotide transfer RNA is filed under the name Felis catus (domestic cat). It matches the Rfam family "tRNA". Rfam says of the family: Transfer RNA (tRNA) molecules are approximately 80 nucleotides in length. Their secondary structure includes four short double-helical elements and three loops (D, anti-codon, and T loops). The record is from Rfam by way of RNAcentral. Lineage: Eukaryota; Metazoa; Chordata; Mammalia; Carnivora; Felidae.